AUUGAACGCUGGCGGCAGGCUUAACACAUGCAAGUCGAGCGGGGGAAGGUAGCUUGCUACCGGACCUAGCGGCGGACGGGUGAGUAAUGCUUAGGAAUCUGCCUAUUAGUGGGGGACAACAUCUCGAAAGGGAUGCUAAUACCGCAUACGUCCUACGGGAGAAAGCAGGGGAUCUUCGGACCUUGCGCUAAUAGAUGAGCCUAAGUCGGAUUAGCUAGUUGGUGGGGUAAAGGCCUACCAAGGCGACGAUCUGUAGCGGGUCUGAGAGGAUGAUCCGCCACACUGGGACUGAGACACGGCCCAGACUCCUACGGGAGGCAGCAGUGGGGAAUAUUGGACAAGGGGGGGAACCCUGAUCCAGCCAUGCCGCGUGUGUGAAGAAGGCCUUAUGGUUGUAAAGCACUUUAAGCGAGGAGGAGGCUACUUUAGUUAAUACCUAGAGAUAGUGGACGUUACUCGCAGAAUAAGCACCGGCUAACUCUGCG
Molecule: ribosomal RNA, 485 nt
Filed under: uncultured bacterium
Lineage: Bacteria
Description: partial 16S ribosomal RNA
Rfam family: Bacterial small subunit ribosomal RNA
Source: RNAcentral